AACGAACGCUGGCGGCAGGCCUAACACAUGCAAGUCGAGCGAGGACUUCGGUUCUAGCGGCGGACGGGUGGGUAACGCGGGGGAAUGUGCCCUUCUCUACGGAAUAGCCCUGGGAAACUGGGAGUAAUACCGUAUACGCCCUUUUGGGGAAAGAUCUAUCGGAGCAGGAUCAGCCCGCGUUGGAUUAGGUAGUUGGUGGGGUAAUGGCCUACCAAGCCGACGAUCCAUAGCUGGUUGGAGAGGAUGAUCAGCCACACUGGGACUGAGACACGGCCCAGACUCCUACGGGAGGCAGCAGUGGGGAAUCUUAGACAAUGGGGGCAACCCUGAUCUAGCCAUGCCGCGUGAGUGAUGAAGGCCGUAGGGUUGUAAAGCUCUUUCAGCUGGGAAGAUAAUGACGGUACCAGCAGAAGAAGCCCCGGCUAACUCCGUG
Molecule: ribosomal RNA, 433 nt
Filed under: uncultured bacterium
Lineage: Bacteria
Description: partial 16S ribosomal RNA
Rfam family: Bacterial small subunit ribosomal RNA
Source: RNAcentral